GCGGAGGUGCCGGAGCGGUCAAACGGGGUAGGCUUAGGACCUACUGGCUUAGUGCCUACGCAGGUUCGAAUCCUGUCCUCCGCA
RNAcentral lists this transfer RNA (84 nucleotides) under Candidatus Woesearchaeota archaeon. Its description in RNAcentral is "tRNA-Leu". It matches the Rfam family "tRNA". Rfam says of the family: Transfer RNA (tRNA) molecules are approximately 80 nucleotides in length. The record is from RNAcentral. Lineage: Archaea; Nanobdellati; Candidatus Woesearchaeota.